Molecule: long non-coding RNA, 2385 nt
Organism: Triticum aestivum (bread wheat)
Lineage: Eukaryota; Viridiplantae; Streptophyta; Magnoliopsida; Poales; Poaceae
Exons: 2
Source: RefSeq, a predicted model, not a curated record
UUUCAAAAGUAUGUUAGCGACACAAAAUAUCCAGCUUACAGAGCGAAAAGCCUGAAAAGGUACCGCAGGUUCAAGAGGACAACACUCGCCACUACCCUAAGAAGCAACUAGCUAAAUAUUUUUCUAAUCUUGAUCGAGUUUAUUAGAAUAUGGCCAUGGUGCAAUAUCAAAUUAGUAGUAUCAUUGCUUCCAUCAUAAUUUUAUUUUAUUUUUGUAUUUCUGCAGCAUCAUGUACGGGUCAUGGCGUAGGGAAUCCCCCCUCCCCUCCGCCGCACCACCCCACACGAGGUUGUCACCGGGCAAGCCCGUGGCGCAGCUCCGGCCUGUGUCGGAGAAUCUUGGAUCUAGGGCGGCGCCCCCAGCGAGGCCCCUUGUUUCCUGCGGCGAGCAGUUGGGUUGGCAUGGUGUUGGCGAUCUGCUCGGAUGGCCGACAGAUCUUCGCUAAACUGGGGCAUCGCGUGGCUGUCUGGGCGGCUACCGGUGCCAGAUCCGGCUGCUGGCCAUCUUCCCCUUCUUGGUGUGCUUCUCCCACAGCGGAUCCUGGCUAUGCCGGCGUGGCUGGCCAGCCCCUGGGCUGUGCCCGAAUCUGGUGGUUGGGAUCCAGACUGGGGGAAACCACUGAUCGGCUCCGGCCGGCGACGACGACGGCGAUGUCCGCAGGCGUCGAGUUUCUUCAUGGAGACGUCGCUCAAGGUCCGCCCUUCCGCUCCCCAACACCUUGCUUCUCUGGUGAAGACCUAACUCUAGUAGGCUACGACGGUGUCCUUGGCGUCGUGACCUUCUUGAAGGCGUCUCCUUGAGAGCUGUGUGGUGGUGGGCACUGUAUGGGGUCGUUGACAGCAGCCAAGGGCGUGUUCUUCGUCCAAGCCUUCACUUUCCUCCGGCGCGUUCUGCCCAAGGGCUGUGUAGCUCGCUCUGCUUUGGAUGAGCCUCGUCGGCACAUUUGGGGUGCUCUGAUCCGCUCUUGGGGUUAUCCGGCGGUUUCCAUCCAUGUUCAUGGGAACUUUCCGUUCUUCGGUGGUACGACACCUUGCGAUUCAGGCAACGAGGUGUGGCCUCCUUUGAAGACGGAGUUUGGAUGGAUAUCGUGCCGGGGGCCUUAGUGUCUGGUGACGGCAGACCAUGUAGGUGCAUCUGCACUCCCUCUCCAGAGCCGGCUUUGCUUCUGUCCAGAUGUAGUCGUGGUGGAGGACCUCAACUUCUUCAGCUGUGUGCUCCAUUGUAUACCCUUCCUGCUGAAGUGUUUGGGGCUUAGUAAGUUGCUUUCCAACUCCUUUGUAUCUUGUUGCUUUCUGUUGUUUGAGUUCUUUGAUGUACUCUGCAGUUGUAUUUUGGCCGGUUGAUGGCUUUGUUAAUUCAAAGCCGGACUCGGCUAGCGCCCUAGUCGGGUUCGGCCGCGUCUUUUCUGUAACAGUUUUGCUAAGUCUCAGUCGACUGAAACUUUUGUUAUGUCUCGUUCGAUGUUAUAGUCCUUUGAUUUUGCAUGGAGAUUCGUACACAAUUUUUCUGUUCACUUUUUUCUUUUUUCUUUUUAUUAUCUUAUAUGCUAUAUCACCUAGCCACACCCUUUCUCUGAAAAGUUUAGGUUUAGUAGACACCGACUAACAAAGUAGAUCACUAAAAUGUAAACUAAUAUAAGAGUGUUUAGAUCACUAUUUUAGUGAUCCAAACGCUCUUAUAUUAGUUUACAGAGGGAGUAUUUGCCAUCCUUAUAGGCAGCUCAUUUAUUUGCUUUAUGUUUUGGUUUCGUGAACAGUUCGCUGCAUCGUUUGCGACCAUACUUCAUGUACGAUUGCACAUCCAUCUUCGGGCAAGUAUUUCACGGGCAGCACUCAACCUGGUUUCCCGGUACACCGCCGGUGGGGAGAUGAUCUAGGUGGGAUGCUGGAGUUAGAUUUUAUAUAUUUCGAUCGAAGAAAUAGUGAGUCUGCCAACUCUAUUGAAGGAGUCUCCUUUUGUCCCCUAGGGAGCCGAUAGCUAGAGCCAGUGUCUGAACUUGAUGAUCCUGUUGGUGCAGUCUCGGAAACACCUAAUAGACAGUGAACUUGACAAGCCAUGCUAAAGACACUGGGAUCUCGGUAGUAACCGAUGCAGAGUGCAGGCAUCAGUGACUACUGAAGCUGAAGUUAGAGCUAGCAUUGUCAUGGAAGGUCCUAAGCAUGAAUUCUGGGAUUCUGAGGGAAGAGACAGCCGAUGAAGCAAGACGCUGUUGAAACAGCCAAACAUGAAGACAAAAAUUCUGCUGCUGCUUGUACUGGCACUCUGUUUAUGUGACCUACUUGACGCUUGCAAGUCUGCUAGAACUUAGUAUUUGUUAUGUUAUCGCCCAACUAUUGUUCAUGGUUACUGGUAUGAGCUUUUAUAGAUGAGAUGAAGUAGUUCUCU